RNAcentral lists this ribosomal RNA (300 nucleotides) under uncultured Bacillus sp. RNAcentral's name for it is "bacterial SSU rRNA". It matches the Rfam family "Bacterial small subunit ribosomal RNA", at positions 496 to 795 of the family's 1533-position model. The record is from RNAcentral. Lineage: Bacteria; Bacillati; Bacillota; Bacilli; Caryophanales; Bacillaceae.
GCUAAGGGCGGGCGAGGAGCUGGGGUAAUAAGAAGGGUGCAAGCGUUAAUCGGAAUUACUGGGCGUAAAGGGUGCGUAGGCGGGUCGUGAAGUCUGUCGUGAAAUCCCCGGGCUCAACCUGGGAAUGGCGAUGGAUACUGGCGAGCUAGAGUGUGUCAGAGGAUGGUGGAAUUCCCGGUGUAGCGGUGAAAUGCGUAGAGAUCGGGAGGAACAUCAGUGGCGAAGGCGGCCAUCUGGGACAACACUGACGCUGAAGCACGAAAGCGUGGGGAGCAAACAGGAUUAGAUACCCGUGUAGUC